This 72-nucleotide transfer RNA is filed under the name Ovis aries (sheep). It matches the Rfam family "tRNA". Rfam says of the family: Transfer RNA (tRNA) molecules are approximately 80 nucleotides in length. Their secondary structure includes four short double-helical elements and three loops (D, anti-codon, and T loops). Lineage: Eukaryota; Metazoa; Chordata; Mammalia; Artiodactyla; Bovidae. The record is from Rfam by way of RNAcentral.
CCAGCAGAAGCUAAAAGAGGUAAAGAAUCUGUAUGCAAAACAGGAGACCCUGGUUCUAUUCCGGGCUCUGGA